CCCUAACCCAAUAACCCGAUUCCCUUUCAGCCACAUCCAAACCCUCUCUUGCUCUCAGCAAGCACGCACACACACCUAGCUCCUUCAAUUUGAAAGAAAGAAGGAAAGGAAAAUAAAAAGAAGGGGAAACGAGGAGAGGGGCUGCAAUCGGAAGAAGGGAAGGGAGGAGAAAAUGUCGCCGCCGUUCAGCCUGUCCCUGCCACCGUCGUGCUGCCACCGAACCGCCGAAGUGCCAUCACCGUUCUCUUGUUGCCGCCGCAGUUGAUAGAAAAAAGAGUGAGAUCCGAGAGAGCUGUGAAGGAAGGGCGUCGUCGGAGGAGAAGCCUGGCACCACCGCCGCCACUGUUCGUCACGCCGUCACCACUAGCCGCGCCGUCACCAGUCGCGAGAGAGAGAGAUCGGGCAAAGAGAGAGGUGUCGUGAGGGAGAGGAGGCGCCGCUGCUGCUGCUGCCUUGCCGUCGCCGCUACCUGGGUCCUGUGGUCCAAGCCACCAUUGAUGGAGCUCCGUUUCUACUUCUCUGGUCCGCCGCCACGGCUGGAGGUCCGCCCGACCUGAUCGGAGGGAAAGGAGAGGUUUAGGCCGCCGCUGCUACUUGCGUGGUGAGCUACUGCACCAGCCACUGCCGCAGGAAUUGCUGCUGGAGAAGGGAGCUGCGCUUCUGUGUUUCUGGCUGCCGGAAAAACCUCGCCGCCGUCACCGGAAAAUCCUGCCGUUUUCAUUGCCGGAGUCCGGGUCGCCGCUGCUGCUUGAGGUGGCUGCCGGGCUGCCGCCAAACCGGUUCAGAGACCGUCGCUGUAUCAGUUCAGUCGUUCCUUCUUCGUUCGAUAAGCGUCUUCGAUUUGAAAAGCCCUCUGGUUAUUGUUCUGUUAUCAUACGCUGAGGUUUGUGACGUUAAUUGCUAUAAGAUUGAGUUUUGGUUGUUAUGUGUUGCGAUUAGAGUUGCUAUGGCUACUGCGAAAGUGACUUGGAGCCGAGGUUUUGGUUGUUGAUUUCGGGUUGAGGCGAAAAGGACUCUGUGACGCGUUUGGGUUAUGGAAACACGAUUUGUUUUUGGGUUAUUUCUUUUCAGGAUAUGGAAGAUGAGGCUCCAGGAGAGUUAUGUUUAUUUUCUGUUUACUCGGUCUUUUUGUAUUACCGUAGCUAUUGUUUUUCCCUCGCCUUUAUCCUUAUUAAGUUUGUAAGAGGGAUAGGAAAUUAUGAUAUGUAUAUUUGUAAACUAGUGUUAUGUAUAUAUAUAUAU
Arachis ipaensis is the source of this 1242-nucleotide non-coding RNA. Lineage: Eukaryota; Viridiplantae; Streptophyta; Magnoliopsida; Fabales; Fabaceae. The record is from RefSeq and is a predicted model, not a curated record.